Long non-coding RNA from Portunus trituberculatus (swimming crab), 282 nucleotides. RefSeq lists it as uncharacterized. The record is from RefSeq and is a predicted model, not a curated record. NCBI's taxonomy places the organism in Eukaryota, Metazoa, Arthropoda, Malacostraca, Decapoda, Portunidae. The transcript has 2 exons.
AGAGAGAGAGAGAGAGAGAGAGAGAGAGAGAGAGAGAUGUCAUAACCUGGCAUGCCACAGCCUGGUGGGACAUAGCGUGAUGCAGCAGUGGAAGAACACACAAGGAUGUAAAUAAUUACGUCUACGGGAGAAUUGUAAAAGGGACCCUGCUGCGAAUCGAGGCGAAAUUGGGUCAGGUAUCCUGUGUCAGGAAACCAUUAACACGAGAGUGGGAGGCCAACCAUUAACAAGAGAGUGGGAAGCCAGGCAUCAGAUUGUACGCAGACCCAAACAAACACCCAA